CCCGCCGGCGACCGGCGCACGGGUGAGUAACGCGUAUGCAACUUACCUAUCAGAGGGGGAUAACCCGGCGAAAGUCGGACUAAUACCGCAUGAAGCAGGGGCCCCGCAUGGGGAUAUUUGCUAAAGAUUCAUCGCUGAUAGAUAGGCAUGCGUUCCAUUAGGCAGUUGGCGGGGUAACGGCCCACCAAACCGACGAUGGAUAGGGGUUCUGAGAGGAAGGUCCCCCACAUUGGUACUGAGACACGGACCAAACUCCUACGGGAGGCAGCAUG
This 272-nucleotide ribosomal RNA is filed under the name uncultured bacterium. RNAcentral describes it as "partial 16S ribosomal RNA". It matches the Rfam family "Bacterial small subunit ribosomal RNA", at positions 84 to 353 of the family's 1533-position model. The record is from RNAcentral.